AACGAACGCUGGCGGCAUGCCUAACACAUGCAAGUCGAACGCCCGUAGCAAUACGGGAGUGGCAGACGGGUGCAUAACACGUGGGAACCUACCCUAGGGUUCGGAAUAACCGCGGGAAACUGCGGCUAAUACCGGAUACGUCCUCUGGGAGAAAGAUCUAUCGCCCUUGGAGGGGCCCGCGUCGGAUUAGCUAGUUGGUGAGGUAACGGCUCACCAAGGCGACGAUCCGUAGCUGAUCUGAGAGGAUGAUCAGCCACACUGGAACUGAGACACGGUCCAGACUCCUACGGGAGGCAGCAGUGGGGAAUAUUGGACAAUGGGCGCAAGCCUGAUCCAGCAAUGCCGCGUGGGUGAUGAAGGCCUUCGGGUUGUAAAGCCCUCUUGGCAGGGACGACGAUGACGGUACCUGCAGAAUAAGCCCCGGCUAACUUCGUGCCAGCCGCCGCCGUAA
RNAcentral lists this ribosomal RNA (451 nucleotides) under uncultured bacterium. Its description in RNAcentral is "partial 16S ribosomal RNA". It matches the Rfam family "Bacterial small subunit ribosomal RNA", at positions 29 to 523 of the family's 1533-position model. The record is from RNAcentral.